This is a non-coding RNA of Zootermopsis nevadensis, 1333 nucleotides long. The record is from RefSeq and is a predicted model, not a curated record. NCBI's taxonomy places the organism in Eukaryota, Metazoa, Arthropoda, Insecta, Blattodea, Termopsidae.
GGUUCCCGCUCCUUGCACCGACACCGCGGUACGGCCACUCGGAGUCUGAUGGUCCCCCGCACCCUGGUCUGUCACAGUAUAUAAACAAGUCAUUUACAGAUAGAGUAAAUGUGCUCAUCACGUAACCAACUAAUUGUACCACAAUUCCUGCAUACUACGCGCCUGCAGAUCAUUGUCUCGAUUGACCCGUCAUACAGAUGUGUAGGAGAAGUUGCCGCGGUCGCACGGCGCACUGCAAAGUACUGACGCCGCAACCAUUAUUCUAUCUUCAGAUGCCACGAACUUGUUUCCAAAAAUUACGGUGUGGCGAGGGAGCCUCCGUUCUCCAAUAUUAACAACAUACUCUACAGGAAGGUUAUUUUGCUGGCCAUUUGAGUGACGAACGGGGAGCAGGUUCGGAAUGGAAGGUGUCUGUACGAGUCUUAUAGAAAACAUUUGCUCCGCUCCGCUUCUACGACCACUUGUUCACAGCGCCGCGUGAGGUGACACACACCAGAAAUGGCUGACACCAGCACAAGUUUUUUUGUUGAACAAAGUAAUUCACAGUAGUGAGAUCAUUAAAAAAAUGUAUAAUCUACAGAUGUUUUCUGAACAGUCAGUAGAACGCCUGCUCGCGCGACCUUGAUUUGGCUGAGCACAUCAAGUGGCAACAAGUAAGGAGAUGCAGUUCUGUAGUCGGGGAAGACUGGAUGGAUGAGACAGUAACCUGGCUGAGAUCAGAACGCGGGUGACCGCAGAUUCAACGAGCCGUCAACCCAAAACGCUCUGUGAAUGAAGUGUAGGAGGAUGGAGAAUACGAUAAAGGAGAAGGCGAAGAGAAAGCACAACCCAGCUAAUUAUCUGCAGAGACGACUUCUCUUCGGGGCAAUGUACACUAUGGUCUCCCAUGUUCUGGAGCACCAAAUUUAAAAUACACACGAAACACCCAAUGUCUUUAAAGAAAUGUUAGACUCACAAAUAAAUAUCACUGUUAAUAUCUCGUCAGCUUCAAUGUUUAAAGUCACUGGGAUAUUUAUGCAACCAAAAAAGACUAAAAAUUACUAAUAUUAUUUCUAAUUUUCAGUUUCAAGUCACACCAGAUAUAUUAAUGACGCAUGUGGCCAUAAAUAUGAAGACAUUUUUGGCAUGUUCAUUAUUAUGUUUUAAAGAGAAAAAUAGUUUCUCGUUGAUCUUGUACGUCGUUAGUCUGCACAUGCCCACCAGGUCAAGCAGAGAACAUUACGCUUUUACCGAAUCAUCGUAAUUUCAAGGUCAUUUCCUUCAGACAGAUGUUUUCCUGCUGUCAGUGCAAUUUUUUAGAAGCUCUGACAAAUUUAAUAAAGACUGUACUUUU